Molecule: ribosomal RNA, 430 nt
Filed under: uncultured bacterium
Lineage: Bacteria
Description: partial 16S ribosomal RNA
Rfam family: Bacterial small subunit ribosomal RNA
Source: RNAcentral
GUGGGGAAUAUUGCACAAUGGGCGGAAGCCUGAUGCAGCAACGCCGCGUGCGGGAUGACGGCCUUCGGGUUGUAAACCGCUUUCAGCAGGGACGAAGCGCAAGUGACGGUACCUGCAGAAGAAGCACCGGCUAACUACGUGCCAGCAGCCGCGGUGAUACGUAGGGUGCGAGCGUUGUCCGGAUUUAUUGGGCGUAAAGAGCUUGUAGGCGGUUGGUUGCGUCGAAAGUGCAAACUCAGGGCUUAACUCUGAGCCUGCUUUCGAUACGGGCUGACUGGAGGAAGGUAGGGGCGAAUGGAAUUCCCGGUGGAGCGGUGGAAUGCGCAGAUAUCGGGAGGAACACCAGUGGCGAAGGCGGUUCUCUGGACCUUUCCUGACGCUGAGAAGCGAAAGCGUGGGGAGCAAACAGGCUUAGAUACCCCGGUAGUCC